RNAcentral lists this long non-coding RNA (1764 nucleotides) under Marmota monax (woodchuck). The record is from RNAcentral. Lineage: Eukaryota; Metazoa; Chordata; Mammalia; Rodentia; Sciuridae.
AUCACUUCCCCCCACACACACAUAUAAAAUAGUUAGGAGAGCAGAGAAACAAAGCAGUCUUUGGAUUUGGUUGUUGCUGUUGAAAUCGCUGCCAAACCUUCAGGAAUAGCUUCUACGUGUAGGAACUGUCAGGAAAUCAAUUCCCAUUUUUUAUAAAUUGGGUAAUCAAGCUGAAUCCUGAUGAAACCAAAGACUAAAAAAAAAAAUCCUCUCAUGAUUUUCAUUUCAGUUUAUCUGGUGGUGCUCUGGUCCUUCAGUGUUCUCAGAGAACUAUGUUAGUUGGCCUGAAACAAACCAACUAACACAACCCUAUAUUGCUAAUUACCUAUAAACUGAUACCACCCAGGAAUGAAUGAGAGGGAGUAGAAAGAAAAACACACUGGGUUCAGUGUGGGAGACCCACAUCAUCAUGACAUGCAUCUUCUCUGAGAAGCCUAUCAGUGUUAACACCUGUUAAAUGGGGCAUAAUAGAAUGGACACGGGUUGUUUUUCUUUUCCCAUCAUCUGUUUCUGAUUUUGUAACAGAAACAUGCCCCACACUCUCAGGCCAGGAGGUUCAGGUUCUCACUCACUUCCCCUCCACCCAUGGCAGCGUUCCCAUCCUAAGACCACAAUUAUUGGUUCAGGAUGAGCACAUGGUAGUGUAAUUAGAAUGAACUCUGGCAUGUUAUUGUCAUGGAAAGGAGAUGACUGCUGGAGGCACUCUUGCUAGCCGGUAUGCUGGAGGCCAUCUUGACAUGGGUUGGGAAGAGCAGUUGCAAGAAGCAACAUAAGGAGGCAGUACAGAGUAACGAGUUUGUUGUUCAGAUCAUCAUUAAGGGCAAUGGAUCCAACUGUGACUGAAGCCAGAUGGAUCUAACUCUAGAACUUUCUGUUAUCUGAACCAAUAAUGCAUUCUUUUCUUUUGACUUAAAUCUAUUUGAUUUAGGCUUCUUGUAGCCAGAAGAUUCCUAACUACUACAACUAAGUUGACCUACCAAUAUGAAUAAUAUUUUUGAAACAUAAAACCUAAAAUCUUUGACUUUCAAAAUACAUUUGCAUUUUUAUUUAAGUCAAUGAGGACAUUUAAAAAAUACUUUUCCUCUGUCAUAGGCCCUCAAGGACGCGAGAACAUCAAAAUCAACAAAAUAAGUCAAGUUACAACAGAGGUUAUAGGCAAGUAGGGCCACAGACAUGUAUUAAACAGUAAUAGGAUACGCUGCAAAGGGUCAAAACUGUGGACUCUACAAAAUGCAGAGAUAUCGGGUAACACAACUCAAGAGGGCAUUAUUAAUACUGUAGUUUAUGUAAAUGUCACACAGGAAAACCCUAGUCUAGCUACAACUCUGCCAGCUGGUGGAAGGGUCAGCGAAACCAACACUUGCCCUAGUAAGUGUUUUCAAUCACGAUAAUGGUUCUUGGCUGUUUUAUUUUUUAAUAAACUGAUUACUGCCCAUUGUAUUUGAGUUUUUAGGCGGAGUUUCUGGCAGAGAGCAGGUACCAUAGGUUUAUCAUGACAGAAAACAGACACAAAUAAUACUGGUGUUGCUUGGUUAUGGUACCAUUUGUUAGUGAUCAACCAGCUUAGGCACCAUUAAAUCAAGUAUCUGCAAGCACAAAAUAUUGCAUCUGAGGAUUAUAGAUAUCUUUGGGCAGUGGGAUGUUCAUUGAAAAUCAGAUUAAUGAUUUGGCAAAACAAGUGGAGUUUUUAGGACUCAAAGGUCAUUUAUAACAACAUAUUUUAACAUUGUUGCCUCAGUGAUCAUACUUCUUUUUAAGUGGCAA